RNAcentral lists this ribosomal RNA (596 nucleotides) under uncultured bacterium. Its description in RNAcentral is "bacterial SSU rRNA". It matches the Rfam family "Bacterial small subunit ribosomal RNA", at positions 84 to 676 of the family's 1533-position model. The record is from RNAcentral.
CCUGCCGGCGACCGGCAAACGGGUGCGGAACACGUACAGAACCUUCCUUCGAGCGGGGAAUAGCCCGGAGAAAUCCGGAUUAAUACCCCAUAAAAUUUUUAGGUGGCAUCACCUGAUAAUUAAAGAUUUAUCACUUGAAGAUGGCUGUGCGGCUGAUUAGGUAGUUGGUGUAGGUAACGGCUCACCAAGCCAACGAUCAGUAACUGGUGUGAGAGCACGACCAGUCACACGGGCACUGAGACACGGGCCCGACUCCUACGGGAGGCAGCAGUAAGGAAUAUUGGUCAAUGGACGCAAGUCUGAACCAGCCAUGCCGCGUGAAGGAUGAAGGCCCUCUGGGUUGUAAACUUCUUUUAUAUGGGACGAAAUGCAGUUAUUCUUAAUUGUUUGACGGUACCAUAGGAAUAAGCACCGGCUAACUCCGUGCCAGCAGCCGCGGUAAUACGGAGGGUGCAAGCGUUAUCCGGAUUCACUGGGUUUAAAGGGUGCGUAGGUGGGCUUGUAAGUCAGUGGUGAAAUCUCCGGGCUUAACCCGGAAACCGCCAUUGAUACUAUAGGUCUUGAAUUAUCCCGGAGGUCAGCGGAAUAUGUCAUGU